GACGAACGCUGGCGGCGUGCUUAACACAUGCAAGUCGAACGGAAAGGCCCUGCUUUUGUGGGGUGCUCGAGUGGCGAACGGGUGAGUAACACGUGAGUAACCUGCCCUUGACUUUGGGAUAACUUCAGGAAACUGGGGCUAAUACCGGAUAGGAGCUCCUGCUGCAUGGUGGGGGUUGGAAAGUUUCGGCGGUUGGGGAUGGACUCGCGGCUUAUCAGCUUGUUGGUGGGGUAGUGGCUUACCAAGGCUUUGACGGGUAGCCGGCCUGAGAGGGUGACCGGCCACAUUGGGACUGAGGUACGGCCCAGACUCCUACGGGGGGCAGCAGUGGGGAAUAUUGCACAAUGGGCGGAAGCCUGAUGCAGCAACGCCGCGUGCGGGAUGACGGCCUUCGGGUUGGAAACCGCUUUCGCCUGUGACGAAGCGUGAGUGACGGUAAUGGGUAAAGAAGCACCGGCUAACUACGUG
This 468-nucleotide ribosomal RNA is filed under the name uncultured bacterium. RNAcentral's name for it is "partial 16S ribosomal RNA". It matches the Rfam family "Bacterial small subunit ribosomal RNA", at positions 28 to 507 of the family's 1533-position model. The record is from RNAcentral.